This 253-nucleotide ribosomal RNA is filed under the name uncultured bacterium. Its description in RNAcentral is "partial 16S ribosomal RNA". It matches the Rfam family "Bacterial small subunit ribosomal RNA", at positions 524 to 776 of the family's 1533-position model. The record is from RNAcentral.
CACGUAGGGCGCAAGCGUUGUCCGGAAUUAUUGGGCGUAAAGAGCUCGUAGGCGGUCUGUUGCGUCCGCUGUGAAAACUCGGGGCUUAACCCCGAGCCUGCAGUGGAUACGGGCAGACUAGAGGUAGGUAGGGGAGAAUGGAAUUCCCGGUGUAGCGGUGAAAUGCGCAGAUAUCAGGAGGAACACCAAUGGCGAAGGCAGCUCGCUGGGACGUGACUGACGCUGAGACGCGAAAGCGUGGGGAGCAAACAGG